AUGGCGGUCGCGGGACACGUUUCGCGUUCGUCGUUUGAUAUUUCCGUCGCCGCGUUUACCCAGACGUCGCGACCCGUUCGUCGUCGGUCCCUGUUCGAAGGAGUCGCGUUCGAGCUCGUUGUGGGCGCGCGUGUUUCGGCGCGCGCGCUACACGGCGAAGGCGCGAUUUUUCUGGCGGACGACGGACGGUACGUUAAGGGUGUCCGACGCCGUUUUUGUACUCGUACACGCGGUCGUCGGUACCGGUCGGCGACGAAUUCUUCGGGCCUCUUUCCGACCCGUCUUGAAACACGGACCAAGGAGUCUAACAUGCGCGCGAGUCGCGGGGUGUCGAGCGUACUACGGUGCGUUCGUUACGUUUGCGAAACCCGUACAUGUUGAAGGCGUAAUGAAAGUGAAUAGGGAAGAUGGUGUUUCCGAGUUCACGUUUCCGCGAUCGUCGGUAUCGCGGCCGGACACCCGCAUUCCCGGGGCGUCUCAACGGCCCGUCGCGAAUGCGGACGAUCGGGGCUCUCGGGUCCUGGUCGUCGGUUCGCGACGAACCGAGGCGCACCUAUAGCGUGCACGUUGGUACCCGAAAGAUGGUGAACUAUGCCUGGCCAGGAUGAAGUCAGGGGAAACCCUGAUGGAGGUCCGCAGCGAUUCUGACGUGCAAAUCGAUC
This 662-nucleotide ribosomal RNA is filed under the name Suturaspis davatchi. Its description in RNAcentral is "eukaryotic LSU rRNA". It matches the Rfam family "Eukaryotic large subunit ribosomal RNA", at positions 434 to 903 of the family's 3401-position model. Lineage: Eukaryota; Metazoa; Arthropoda; Insecta; Hemiptera; Diaspididae. The record is from RNAcentral.